Molecule: RNA transcript, 1553 nt
Organism: Musa acuminata AAA Group (dessert banana)
Lineage: Eukaryota; Viridiplantae; Streptophyta; Magnoliopsida; Zingiberales; Musaceae
Exons: 10
Source: RefSeq, a predicted model, not a curated record
AGGAACUUAUGAUACGGGAAAGGGCCGAACCAAGCGAAUCAAAGUACGUCUUCCGCCGCGAUCUGGAAACCCUAAUCCUUCUACGCUUUAUGCAAAAGGGCCUGUCGAUCUCCAAUUCGCCGUUCUCUCCAAUCCAUUGAGGGGAUUGUUAUGGCAACGGAAUCGGCUUCGGCUUCGAGCUCGAAUCCCUCGUCGUCGUCCCUGUACUCCUACCCGGCCACCACCUACUUCCCUCUCCCGUUUCAUCUCCAGAACGCCGACCCUGCGGCUCAGCAGCAGUAUCUCCCGCCGUCCCAGAUCCCACCGCCCGUUAAGAUCCCCACGAUGGCGCAGACGUUCCCCGUUCCGCCCCCCGUCGUCGCCGGGAUGUAUUCGCUUCCGCAGUUCCAGCAGGCACAACAACUUUUUCAACGGGAUGCACAAACCAUCACUCCAGAGGCUAUAGAGGUUGUGAAAGCUGCACUUGCAAAUAGUGAAGUUGACCAUAAAUCAGACACAAAAAAGAAAGCAAUACCACGUAAAGCAGCUGGUCAGAGUUGGGAGGAUCCAACUUUGGCAGAAUGGCCAGAGAAUGAUUUUCGAUUAUUUUGUGGAGAUCUAGGCAACGAAGUCAAUGAUGAUGUCCUUUCAAAAGCAUUUUCAAGGUUCCCCUCCUUCAACAUGGCAAGAGUGAUAAGAGACAAGAGAACUGGAAAAACCAAAGGUUAUGGAUUUGUCAGCUUUUCAAACCCAUCAGACCUUGCAGCAGCUGUCAAAGAAAUGAAUGGAAAAUACGUUGGAAAUCGUCCUAUAAAGUUGCGUAAAAGCACAUGGAGGGAAAGAACAGAUGUUGAAGCUUUGGAAAGGCAAAAGAAUUACAUUCAGAAGAAACCAAAACUACCAAAGAAAGGUAUUCUGCACAAGUGAAGCUUCAAGAUCACAACCUUGACUUACGCAUGAAAACUUGAAAGAGUGGAUGGGAUGUUGGUCUUUAUGGUUGUCGAAUGCAAUGGCAGCUGGGCAUCAAUUAGACUGCUACCACAAGCGCUUGUGGAUGUCGGUAUUAUAUCGGUUCGGUUAAUUACGUUUCCAUUUGCGUUGUGGAUCGACUGGUACGUACGGUGGUAGCUGGUCAACGUUUUUGACUGAUCGAAAGGUGACACGCGGAAUCGCAGAUGAUAAAAUCAAUCGACCAGGAUUUUUGGACUAUAAUAUGGCUGUCCCUCGCACCACUCAGUAAUUGUCACGAUCGGUGAAUCUACUCUCAGUCGACAUUGAUUGUUACGUGAGAUCCAUGUCAUUCUCCAUCAAUCUAUUUUUUCCUUCCCAUCGUUUAAGGUGGUACUUGGAGAGCAUGGCAUUUUUAUCUCGAACAAUUUUACGAAUAUGGGUUCGAAUCAUAUCCAAUUGAUUGGGACAUCGACGAUAUUUUUUUCUAACAUUACUAUUUUUUAUGAUGUGAGAUUAAAUUCGGAUAUUGUAAUUUGCUUACAUGGUGCAUGUCAGUAGAAGACCUGAUUAUGGUUCGAUUUGAACCAAAAUUAAAUUGGUUCGAUGGUUCAUCGAUUCCAAAC